CUUUCGAUAGUUCAGUUGGUAGAGUGGAGGACUGUAGAUCCUUAGGUCGCUGGUUCGAAUCCGGCUCGAAGGA
RNAcentral lists this transfer RNA (73 nucleotides) under Mus musculus (house mouse). RNAcentral's name for it is "tRNA-Tyr (GTA) (tRNA-Tyr-GTA-5-1)". It matches the Rfam family "tRNA". Rfam says of the family: Transfer RNA (tRNA) molecules are approximately 80 nucleotides in length. Their secondary structure includes four short double-helical elements and three loops (D, anti-codon, and T loops). The record is from RNAcentral. Lineage: Eukaryota; Metazoa; Chordata; Mammalia; Rodentia; Muridae.